AUUGAACGCUGGCGGCAUGCCUUACACAUGCAAGUCGAACGGCAGCACGGGUGCUUGCACCUGGUGGCGAGUGGCGAACGGGUGAGUAAUACAUCGGAACAUGUCCUGUAGUGGGGGAUAGCCCGGCGAAAGCCGGAUUAAUACCGCAUACGAUCUACGGAUGAAAGCGGGGGACCUUCGGGCCUCGCGCUAUAGGGUUGGCCGAUGGCUGAUUAGCUAGUUGGUGGGGUAAAGGCCUACCAAGGCGACGAUCAGUAGCUGGUCUGAGAGGACGACCAGCCACACUGGGACUGAGACACGGCCCAGACUCCUACGGGAGGCAGAAGUGGGGAAUUUUGGACAAUGGGCGAAAGCCUGAUCCAGCAAUGCCGCGUGUGUGAAGAAGGCCUUCGGGUUGUAAAGCACCUUUGUCCGGAAAGAAAUCCUUGGCCCUAAUACGGUCGGGGGAUGACGGUACCGGAAGAAUAAGCACCGGCUAACUACGUG
This 486-nucleotide ribosomal RNA is filed under the name uncultured bacterium. RNAcentral describes it as "partial 16S ribosomal RNA". It matches the Rfam family "Bacterial small subunit ribosomal RNA", at positions 30 to 507 of the family's 1533-position model. The record is from RNAcentral.